This 535-nucleotide ribosomal RNA is filed under the name uncultured bacterium. RNAcentral describes it as "bacterial SSU rRNA". It matches the Rfam family "Bacterial small subunit ribosomal RNA", at positions 28 to 559 of the family's 1533-position model. The record is from RNAcentral.
AUUGAACGCUGGCGGAAUGCUUUACACAUGCAAGUCGAGCGGCAGCGCGGGGCAACCCUGGCGGCGAGCGGCGAACGGGUGAGUAACAUAUCGGAACGUACCCAGUCGUGGGGGAUAACUAUCCGAAAGGAUAGCUAAUACCGCAUACGACCUGAGGGUGAAAGCGGGGGACCGUAAGGCCUCGCGCGAUUGGAGCGGCCGAUAUCGGAUUAGCUAGUUGGUGAGGUAAAGGCUCACCAAGGCGACGAUCCGUAGCUGGUCUGAGAGGACGACCAGCCACACUGGAACUGAGACACGGUCCAGACUCCUACGGGAGGCAGCAGUGGGGAAUUUUGGACAAUGGGGGCAACCCUGAUCCAGCCAUUCCGCGUGAGUGAAGAAGGCCUUCGGGUUGUAAAGCUCUUUCAGCAGGAACGAAACGGUGGUCCCUAAUACGGGCUACUAAUGACGGUACCUGAAGAAGAAGCACCGGCUAACUACGUGCCAGCAGCCGCGGUAAUACGUAGGGUGCGAGCGUUAAUCGGAAUUACUGGGC